GACCAAGGUCAGUAGAAGAUGGAGAAGACAGAGGUUCUUGAGAAGGAACGCACUUGUCAAUGAGGAAGUGAGGGGCUUAUUGCAGCUGUCCAAAGGUCUGAACAAUUCCUCAACAAGUAAGACGACUGGUGGCUCCCAACCGCUGUUUACCGGGUGAUUGGAUGCGUCGCCGAUCAAAGACAUCAGAUUCAUGUUGGACAUCGCCUGCGCCCAUGCCAAGAUUGUCUCGCUUGUUGAAGUUUGUCUUGUAGUUUAUUUGCAGGGUUGACAUUUGAUAUGAAAUGUAAUCUUUGUCUUGGAUAGUAAGAUUCUGCAUAAAAUGUGUAUCAAAUUAAUUGUUGUACGCAGCAAGAAUUUUUAACGAAACUUCUGAUCAGAGAAAAAGAAAGAAAUGGAUGGCGUCGACCCUGCAUGUCGCUGGUUAUAUAUGAUACAUUCUUUCUAAAUCGUAGUACAGUACUCUAUCCGCUCAUAUCGUUUCAAGGUAUUUUAUAUAUUAUGUAUAUUUAUUAUUGUGUCGGAAGUAAGUACCCAUCAUUUCUCAAACAAAAAUACGGUACUUUAACAAAGUAAUUUUAAUGCAAAAAAUUAUUUUGCUGAAAUGAUCGA
This 609-nucleotide long non-coding RNA is filed under the name Lingula anatina. Its description in RNAcentral is "uncharacterized LOC106172693". The record is from RNAcentral. Lineage: Eukaryota; Metazoa; Brachiopoda; Lingulata; Lingulida; Lingulidae.